GACGAACGCUGGCGGCGUGCUUAACACAUGCAAGUCGAACGGAAAGGCCCUGCGUUUGUGGUGUGCUCGAUUGGCGAACGGGUGAGUAACACGUGAGUAACCUGCCCUUGACUUUGGGAUAACUUCAGGAAACUGGGGCUAAUACCGUAUAGGAGCUCCUGCUGCAUGGUGGGGGUUGGAAAGUUUCGGCGUUUGGGGAUGGACUCGCGGCUAAUGAGCUUGUUGGUGGGGUAGUGGCUUACCAAGGCUUUGACGGGUAGCCGGCCUGAGAGGGUGACCGGCCACCUUGGGACUGAGAGACGGACCAGAGUCGUACGGGAGGCAGCAGUGGGGAGUAUUGCACAAUGGGCGGACGCCUGAUGAAGCAACGCCGCGUGCGGGAUGACGGCCUUCGGGUUGUAAAACGCUUUCGCCUGUGACGAAGCGUGAGUGACGGUAAUGGGUAAAGAAGCACCGGCUAACUACGUG
RNAcentral lists this ribosomal RNA (468 nucleotides) under uncultured bacterium. RNAcentral describes it as "partial 16S ribosomal RNA". It matches the Rfam family "Bacterial small subunit ribosomal RNA", at positions 28 to 507 of the family's 1533-position model. The record is from RNAcentral.